Molecule: ribosomal RNA, 303 nt
Filed under: uncultured bacterium
Lineage: Bacteria
Description: partial 16S ribosomal RNA
Rfam family: Bacterial small subunit ribosomal RNA
Source: RNAcentral
AGCAGUCGCCGCGGUAAUACGUAGGUCCCGAGCGUUGUCCGGAUUUAUUGGGCGUAAAGCGAGCGCAGGCGGUUAGAUAAGUCUGAAGUUAAAGGCUGUGGCUUAACCAUAGUACGCUUUGGAAACUGUUUAACUUGAGUGCAAGAGGGGAGAGUGGAAUUCCAUGUGUAGCGGUGGAAUGCGUAGAUAUAUGGAGGAACACCGGUGGCGAAAGCGGCUCUCUGGCUUGUAACUGACGCUGAGGCUCGAAAGCGUGGGGAGCAAACAGGAUUAGAUACCCCUGUAGUCCCUGUCUCUUAUACA